Molecule: ribosomal RNA, 253 nt
Filed under: uncultured bacterium
Lineage: Bacteria
Description: partial 16S ribosomal RNA
Rfam family: Bacterial small subunit ribosomal RNA
Source: RNAcentral
UACGAAGGGAGCGAGCGUUAUCCGGAUUUAUUGGGUGUAAAGGGUGCGUAGACGGGAAGUCAAGUUAGUUGUGAAAUCCCUCGGCUUAACUGAGGAACUGCAACUAAAACUGAUUUUCUUGAGUACUGGAGAGGAAAGUGGAAUUCCUAGUGUAGCGGUGAAAUGCGUAGAUAUUAGGAGGAACACCAGUGGCGAAGGCGACUUUCUGGACAGAAACUGACGUUGAGGCACGAAAGUGUGGGGAGCAAACAGG